AUUGAACGCUGGCGGCAGGCCUAACACAUGCAAGUCGAACGGUAACAGGAAGCAGCUUGCUGCUUUGCUGACGAGUGGCGGACGGGUGAGUAAUGUCUGGGAAACUGCCUGAUGGAGGGGGAUAACUACUGGAAACGGUAGCUAAUACCGCAUAACGUCGCAAGACCAAAGAGGGGGACCUUCGGGCCUCUUGCCAUCGGAUGUGCCCAGAUGGGAUUAGCUAGUAGGUGGGGUAACGGCUCACCUAGGCGACGAUCCCUAGCUGGUCUGAGAGGAUGACCAGCCACACUGGAACUGAGACACGGUCCAGACUCCUACGGGAGGCGGCAGUGGGGAAUAUUGCACAAUGGGCGCAAGCCUGAUGCAGCCAUGCCGCGUGUAUGAAGAAGGCCUUCGGGUUGUAAAGUACUUUCAGCGGGGAGGAAGGGAGUAAAGUUAAUACCUUUGCUCAUUGACGUUACCCGCAGAAGAAGCACCGGCUAACUCCGUG
RNAcentral lists this ribosomal RNA (490 nucleotides) under uncultured bacterium. Its description in RNAcentral is "partial 16S ribosomal RNA". It matches the Rfam family "Bacterial small subunit ribosomal RNA", at positions 30 to 507 of the family's 1533-position model. The record is from RNAcentral.